This 754-nucleotide ribosomal RNA is filed under the name Escherichia coli. RNAcentral describes it as "bacterial LSU rRNA". It matches the Rfam family "Bacterial large subunit ribosomal RNA", at positions 521 to 1275 of the family's 2925-position model. The record is from RNAcentral. Lineage: Bacteria; Pseudomonadati; Pseudomonadota; Gammaproteobacteria; Enterobacterales; Enterobacteriaceae.
GAACCCCGGCGAGGGGAGUGAAAAAGAACCUGAAACCGUGUACGUACAAGCAGUGGGAGCCUCUUUUAUGGGGUGACUGCGUACCUUUUGUAUAAUGGGUCAGCGACUUAUAUUCUGUAGCAAGGUUAACCGAAUAGGGGAGCCGAAGGGAAACCGAGUCUUAACUGGGCGUUAAGUUGCAGGGUAUAGACCCGAAACCCGGUGAUCUAGCCAUGGGCAGGUUGAAGGUUGGGUAACACUAACUGGAGGACCGAACCGACUAAUGUUGAAAAAUUAGCGGAUGACUUGUGGCUGGGGGUGAAAGGCCAAUCAAACCGGGAGAUAGCUGGUUCUCCCCGAAAGCUAUUUAGGUAGCGCCUCGUGAAUUCAUCUCCGGGGGUAGAGCACUGUUUCGGCAAGGGGGUCAUCCCGACUUACCAACCCGAUGCAAACUGCGAAUACCGGAGAAUGUUAUCACGGGAGACACACGGCGGGUGCUAACGUCCGUCGUGAAGAGGGAAACAACCCAGACCGCCAGCUAAGGUCCCAAAGUCAUGGUUAAGUGGGAAACGAUGUGGGAAGGCCCAGACAGCCAGGAUGUUGGCUUAGAAGCAGCCAUCAUUUAAAGAAAGCGUAAUAGCUCACUGGUCGAGUCGGCCUGCGCGGAAGAUGUAACGGGGCUAAACCAUGCACCGAAGCUGCGGCAGCGACACUGUGUGUUGUUGGGUAGGGGAGCGUUCUGUAAGCCUGUGAAGGUGUACUGUGAGGUAUGCUG